CCUACGGGCGGCAGCAGUGGGGAAUAUUGGACAAUGGGCGAAAGCCUGAUCCAGCCAUGUCGCGUGUGUGAAGAAGGCCUUCGGGUUGUAAAGCACUUUCAGUGGGGAAGAAAGCCUUGGGGCUAAUACCCUCGAGGAAGGACAUCACCCACAGAAGAAGCACCGGCUAACUCCGUGCCAGCAGCCGCGGUAAUACGGAGGGUGCGAGCGUUAAUCGGAAUUACUGGGCGUAAAGCGCGCGUAGGCGGUCUGAUAAGCCGGUUGUGAAAGCCCCGGGCUCAACCUGGGAACGGCAUCCGGAACUGUCAGGCUAGAGUGCAGGAGAGGAAGGUAGAAUUCCCGGUGUAGCGGUGAAAUGCGUAGAGAUCGGGAGGAAUACCAGUGGCGAAGGCGGCCUUCUGGACUGACACUGACGCUGAGGUGCGAAAGCGUGGGUAGCAAACAGGAUUAGAUACCCCAGUAGUC
This 465-nucleotide ribosomal RNA is filed under the name Vreelandella stevensii. Its description in RNAcentral is "partial 16S ribosomal RNA". It matches the Rfam family "Bacterial small subunit ribosomal RNA", at positions 338 to 795 of the family's 1533-position model. The record is from RNAcentral. Lineage: Bacteria; Pseudomonadati; Pseudomonadota; Gammaproteobacteria; Oceanospirillales; Halomonadaceae.